RNAcentral lists this unclassified non-coding RNA (288 nucleotides) under uncultured fungus. RNAcentral describes it as "sequence contains ITS1". The record is from RNAcentral. Lineage: Eukaryota; Fungi.
CUCGGGUGGUGGGUGCCGGUGGAUGGAGACCCAAGCCGCCGGGGCGCCACUUUCAUUACCAAUGCUUCGAUCCGCGAAUACAUCAACGGCAUGAGAGCCAAGCACGUCCUCCUUGUCGCAGACUCUUGUUUCAGCGGGGCUCUGCUCGGGACACGCGCGCUACUUCCCAAAGGGGUGAAGAAUACAGAGUGGGUCGCCCGGUUGGCGGCCAAACCGUCGCGCUAUGCCAUCACGUCCGGGAACAAUGAACCGGUGAUGGAUCGCGGCAAAGAUGGACACAGCGUAUUU